Molecule: ribosomal RNA, 486 nt
Filed under: uncultured bacterium
Lineage: Bacteria
Description: partial 16S ribosomal RNA
Rfam family: Bacterial small subunit ribosomal RNA
Source: RNAcentral
AUUGAACGCUGGCGGCAUGCCUUACACAUGCAAGUCGAACGGCAGCACGGGUGCUUGCACCUGGUGGCGAGUGGCGAACGGGUGAGUAAUACAUCGGAACAUGUCCUGUAGUGGGGGAUAGCCCGGCGAAAGCCGGAUUAAUACCGCAUACGAUCUACGGAUGAAAGCGGGGGACCUUCGGGCCUCGCGCUAUAGGGUUGGCCGAUGGCUGAUUAGCUAGUUGGUGGGGUAAAGGCCUACCAAGGCGACGAUCAGUAGCUGGUCUGAGAGGACGACCAGCCACACUGGGACUGAGACACGGCCCAGACUCCUACGGGAGGCAGCAGUGGGGAAUUUUGGACAAUGGGCGAAAGCCUGAUCCAGCAAUGCCGCGUGUGCGAAGAAGGCCUUCGGGUUGUAAAGCACUUUUGUCCGGAAAGAAAUCCUUGGCCCUAAUACGGUCGGGGGAUGACGGUACCGGAAGAAUAAGCACCGGCUAACUACGUG